This 295-nucleotide long non-coding RNA is filed under the name Homo sapiens (human). Its description in RNAcentral is "HSALNT0394721". The record is from RNAcentral. Lineage: Eukaryota; Metazoa; Chordata; Mammalia; Primates; Hominidae.
CUGCCCAAAGGGAAAGUCCAGGGAUGGUGUUGAAAUUCCGUUCUGAGCUAGAGGGCUGUUUUAACAGAGAAAGGAAUCUAUAAUUGGCAAGAAAGACCAAGCUUAAUGUCAAAGCCGUUUGAUAAGUCUGAGAUCACAGAAUGUCUAGGCCAAGACUUAGUCAGAAUGAAACAUGUUUCUGGAGGAUUUCACUGUGGCACAAAAUGUUCCUGCGGUCCAAAAUUGAGAAGGGAAUUGAAACAAGGGAAAUUUUACUGUUAUGAAAUAUAAUAAAUAGUGCUUGCUUUACUGUAUG